RNAcentral lists this ribosomal RNA (351 nucleotides) under uncultured bacterium. RNAcentral describes it as "bacterial SSU rRNA". It matches the Rfam family "Bacterial small subunit ribosomal RNA", at positions 8 to 350 of the family's 1533-position model. The record is from RNAcentral.
AGAGUUUGAUCCUGGCUCAGGAUGAACGCUAGCUACAGGCUUAACACAUGCAAGUCGAGGGGAAACGACAUCGAAAGCUUGCUUUUGAUGGGCGUCGACCGGCGCACGGGUGAGUAACGCGUAUCCAACCUGCCCACCACUUGGGGAUAACCUUGCGAAAGUAAGACUAAUACCCAAUGAUAUCUCUAGAAGACAUCUGAAAGAGAUUAAAGAUUUAUCGGUGAUGGAUGGGGAUGCGUCUGAUUAGCUUGUUGGCGGGUAACGCCACCAAGGCGACGAUCAGUAGGGGUUCUGAGAGGAAGGUCCCCCANAUUGGAACUGAGACACGGUCCAAACGUCCUACGGGAGGCA